This 207-nucleotide ribosomal RNA is filed under the name uncultured bacterium. RNAcentral describes it as "partial 16S ribosomal RNA". It matches the Rfam family "Bacterial small subunit ribosomal RNA", at positions 568 to 774 of the family's 1533-position model. The record is from RNAcentral.
CGUGUAGGCGGCUUGGUAAGUCCGGUGUGAAACCUUGGGGCUCAACCCCAAGCCUGCACUGGAUACUGCCUCGCUUGAGUCCGGGAGGGGAGAGCGGAAUUCCCAGUGUAGCGGUGAAAUGCGCAGAUAUUAGGAAGAACACCGGUGGCGAAGGCGGCUCUCUGGAACGAUACUGACGCUGAGACGCGAAAGCGUGGGGAGCGAACA